Molecule: long non-coding RNA, 497 nt
Organism: Anthonomus grandis grandis
Lineage: Eukaryota; Metazoa; Arthropoda; Insecta; Coleoptera; Curculionidae
Exons: 2
Source: RefSeq, a predicted model, not a curated record
CUGAAAAUAGUUUCUAAAAUACAAAGGGAAACAAAAAGAAGCAUAUUAUCUCACCCUUAUUUGCAACCUCUUGGACAGGGAUGCCAGACGAAACCUUGAAGACGGUGGACUAAAGUUUAUAAAGUAUGUUAGUAAAUGUACAAAAAAGUUUUUUUUAAACUAAAAUUAAUAUAUAAUUCAAAAUCUAUAUUAAACUUAAAUCUUAAAAAGAUACUAUGUAGCUAACUCUUGUCCAAUUAACCUUUGACUAUGCGGAUGUUGUUUAUAGUCGUUGCCUUACAGGAGCUCUAGCCCAAUAUAUCCAGAGAAUACAAAAUUGUUGUCUUCGGUUUAUUUAUGAGAUAAGAAGACGUAAACCUGUUAGCCAUAAGCUUAAUAAGGCUAAUUGAAUAUGAAUAAUAGGAAUCGAUUUCAUUGUAAUAACCCGUAUGAUAGAGUUACAGUUAAUAGAAAUUAAAAAAAAAUAAAUAAAAAUCCCGCUUUUAUUAUACAACGGU